RNAcentral lists this ribosomal RNA (270 nucleotides) under uncultured archaeon. RNAcentral's name for it is "partial 16S ribosomal RNA". It matches the Rfam family "Archaeal small subunit ribosomal RNA", at positions 477 to 747 of the family's 1478-position model. The record is from RNAcentral.
CUGCAGCCCGAGUGGUGAUCGAUUUUAUUGAGCCUAAAGCGUCCGUAGCCGGACUAGUAAACCCUUGGGUAAAUUGGGCAGCUUAACUGUCCAAAUUCCGAGGGGACUGCUAGUCUUGGGACCGGGAGAGGUCAGAGGUACUCCAGGGGUAGGGGCUAAAUCCUGUAAUCCUUGGGGGACCACCAGUGGCGAAGGCGUCUGACUAGAACGGAUCCGACGGUAAGGGACGAAACCCUGGGGCGCAAACCGGAUUAGAUACCCGCGUAGUCC